This 276-nucleotide ribosomal RNA is filed under the name uncultured prokaryote. Its description in RNAcentral is "partial 16S ribosomal RNA". It matches the Rfam family "Bacterial small subunit ribosomal RNA", at positions 524 to 800 of the family's 1533-position model. The record is from RNAcentral.
UACGUAGGUGGCAAGCGUUGUCCGGAUUUACUGGGUGUAAAGGGGCGCAGGCGGGAAGCUAAGUUGGAUGUGAAAUACCGGGGCUCAACUCCGGAGCUGCAUCCAAAACUGGUUUUCUUGAGUGGAGUAGAGGCAAGCGGAAUUCCGAGUGUAGCGGUGAAAUGCGUAGAUAUUCGGAGGAACACCAGUGGCGAAGGCGGCUUGCUGGGCUCUAACUGACGCUGAGGCCCGAAAGCGUGGGGAGCAAACAGGAUUAGAUACCCCCGUAGUCCCUGA